AGAAGAAAAGCAUCGACAGCAACGACAGCAAGGACGUUUGAAAGUGGAAUUUCCUUAGAAUGUGGAUGCAUAAUGAUAAACAUAAGCGACUUGCAGCACUGGGUCACCUCAUGAACAAAUCGCUCUCUGUAAGGGCUAACACUCUACUAGGAAGUAGAAGACUUGAGUCCUUAUCCUGCAUCUGUUAUCAACCAGGUUAAGACUGCCCCUUGAGGACGGAGGAGAGAAACUGCAGGGGUCCUGAGUGCCAGAAGCACAGAGAAAAAAAAACCACAGCUGAUCCAGACUGCUCAACAAAGGGAGAGAAGAACUGGAAUGAAAAUUCUUAAAAAACUAAAGUGAGUCCAAUGAGAAUACCUAACGGACAAGUCGAUCCAGUCAAUCUUUUUCAUCUUUUGAGAUAUGGCUGCUCUAAUUCUAAAC
Sciurus carolinensis (gray squirrel) is the source of this 423-nucleotide long non-coding RNA. RefSeq lists it as uncharacterized. NCBI's taxonomy places the organism in Eukaryota, Metazoa, Chordata, Mammalia, Rodentia, Sciuridae. The record is from RefSeq and is a predicted model, not a curated record. The transcript is spliced from 3 exons.